Molecule: long non-coding RNA, 3534 nt
Organism: Homo sapiens (human)
Lineage: Eukaryota; Metazoa; Chordata; Mammalia; Primates; Hominidae
Exons: 2
Source: RefSeq, a predicted model, not a curated record
GGCAACCCACUCACGUCCCCUUCCAUGCUAUGGAAGCUCUGUUCUUUUGCUCUUUGCAAUAAAUCUUGCUGCUGCUCACUCUUUGGGUCCACACUGCCUUUAUGAGCCAUAACACUCACCGCGAAGGUCUGCAACUUCUCUCCAGAGGCCAGCAAGACCACGAACCCACUGGGAGGAAUGAACAACUCCGGACGGGAGGAACGAACCACUCUGGACGCACCGCCUUAAGAGCUAUAACACUCACUGCGAAGGUCUGCAGCUUCAUUCCUGAAGCCAGCGAGACCACGAACCCACCAGAAGGAAGAAACUCUGAACACACCCAAACAUCAGAAGGAACAAACUCCGAACACAUCAGAAGGAACAAACUGCGGACAUGCCGCCUUUAAGAACUGUAACACUCACCACGAGAUUCUGCGGCUUCAUUCUUGAAGUCAGUGAGACCAAGAACCCACCAAUUCCGGAUACAUUUUGGUGACCCAGAUGGGACUAUUACCUAUCGCCAAGCGGUGAGACCACUGCCUAUCGCUGAGCGGUGAGACUAUCACCUAUCGCCAAGCAGUCAACGGCAGGGGUCUAAGGAGUGACUGCCCAACGUGAGGCUUCAAGAUGAGCCAAUUACCAAUUAUGCACGGCGUUUCUCCUUCUCUUCCUUCAUUCCCAUAGAGAAUCCCAUUCCUAUCUCCUUCGCCAGCCCAAGGCAAUGGGCCUCUCCCAGCAACUGGGUGGGCAAGUUUUACCUGCUGGAUAGUGUUGCCUCUUUCCUAGGUAACAGAGUGGCUUUCCUACCUAAGCCAGUCUCUGAUGCAAAGAAGAGAAUGCCACCUCCCUGGAGGACAAGCCUGAGCAACUCCCAAGCUGGCAGAGUGAGUGGCAGCAGGCAGUCAGGCUGGCUCUCCCAAGAGGAGCACAGGCUGCUCUCCUGAUGAGCAGGUCCCACCUGCCUGUGUCACCAACAGUGCGAAGAUCCCGGGGUCCUAUCUCAAGGGCAGGAAGGACAUCCCUGGCCUGAAGCCAGCCAACCCAUUAGGUCACCAGGUUGAUGCCUGCAGGACACACAGAUACUCACUUGGGUUUUUCAUCUGGUAAUGGUUCAGGAAGCCCAGAGUCUCCAGGGCAUCGCUCUUGGAUUCCCACUCCAGCAGUCCAGAGGAGCUGCGCUCACCUGAUUGCAAACCAAGGGGAAAAGUAAAGGUUUUAGACUCACCCAAUAGGAACUAGGCAGCUGCCCACCAACCACCAUGCAAUUAGGGCAAGGAGGUGGGCACACUCGACUCACUUUUGCCUGAGAAUACUUUCACAGAAGAUGGCCGCUUCACUCCCAGCUCAUCGCAGAUCUGCAAAAGAAAACAGGUAGUAAAUGAACUCUGAAACAAAAGGGCCGCCACACAGGAUUCAAGCAGACCAGGCCCUGCAUGACUCAGUACUUGAAGUUUUCAGGAGAAAAGGCUUGUAGAUUUUAUCACAUACCCUAAGGCAUCCCUGUGUCAUAAAAAGGCCAGCAACAAUGCUCUUUAAUUAUUAAGUUGCCUGAGACUGGGAAGCUGCUUUUUCGUUCCCAACUUCAACAGCUAUGUGGAUAUCUGCACCCGGCUGUUUGCUGAACACUGUUUGCUGAAUGCAAGGUCAACAUUUCAGACCACAGCCAGAUCCACUUGAGUUCCUCCUCCCUUCCGCUGCCUCAGUUCCCCCUGACUGAGCUUUACAGGGCCCCACCUUCUGAUGGUAUCAGGGUGAUGGCACCCGAAGCCUACGCCAAUGCGGUUCUUGUGAAAUUGGGCCCUCAUCACUGGGCCUGUGAAGCAGCUUUCCCAGCAAACGAGCAGUUGCCCUGCUUGCCAAAAAUGUAAAAGGAAGGAACGCGGCAAAUGGUGUUGCUAGAAACUUGGUGCCAUUCUCACCCUGUCCAGUUUGAGAGCACAGAUUCCUAUCUGUCCUGGCCUCUGCUGUGUCCCUAGCACUCAACCCAGGGCCAGGCAGGACAGGAGUUCAACAGCUAUUUGCAGAAAAGACUGAAAUGAAUGGCCUACUCAGACGGCCGUGGCAAGGACCCGACUGCCUGCGCAGCUCCACGGCACACACCUCAAAGAAGUUCUCCUCGGUCACCUCCAGCGGGGCGUUGAAGAAGUGCAGCACGUUGCUGGGGUGCUGGAUGCGGUUCUUGGCUGCCUGCUCUGGGGUGGAGAACCGAUUGUUCCGGGAUUCACUGAAGUCUUUGUAACUGCAAGACCCGUCUUCCAACCCGUAUGACUGACCAGGCAUGAUGGCUGGCUGCUUGGAGACACUGCAGCAAGGAAGAAAGGGGAGCCUUUGUCAUACCCAAAGUUGUCCCUGAAGCUUUCCCCUGUGGCCUCCAGAGGCUUAGCUUGCCCUGUGUGCCUUGGGGCAUUGCUCUACACCUGAGGCAAGGCUGACUCACUUUCUCCUGUGGUGUCAGAGACACGUCUGGGAACACACCUGCCACAUCCCAUUUCUGUGUGAGUCAACACCUCGGCCUCACUGUGCUCCUCUGCUGGGCCCCAUUCCCCUCCUUUUCUCUCCCCUGUACCUCUGCUGCCCUCCCGAGCCUGAGCACCUACCAGACAUUCAGCUUCUGCCCAAACAUGAAGUUGUUGUUGAGGUGGGUAAUGGCCCGGUCUACAGCGUAGCCAUCAGCCAUCUCCACCAUGGCGGCCCCCGGCUUGCUUUUCAUGAAUUUCACCUUGGGGAGAGUAGCUGCAGUCAGCACCUCUGUCCAGCUGCCAGGGUCCCCUCUCCUGCCCCUCCCAAGUUAGUGAUAAUAACCCCUGCUCUGGCCUCCCAUGUCCUCACAGUUAAUCGGGACCACUAGAAAAACAUGCCUGGCCCACACCAAGUGCUCAACCCAUAGUGAGAAGCAGAGCCUGGGCCAUGUUUUUAACUGUGGGACAUAACCCACCAGUAAAUCAUUUAGUGAAGCAUGACAGAAAACUGUACAGGAAUCAGAAAUCAAAUCAGCCAUUUUCACCAUUUUGUCUGUUACACACAGACGUGUGUGAUCUAUGGAUGGCUGUGUCUACAGUCACAAGGUAAAAUACUCCUUCAGCUGGGUUACAACAGAGCAGUGCCGGCUCUGGAGCCAGGCAGUCUGGCUCUGAGUCCUGCUUCACAUAAAGGCUAUGUGAACCUGGGCGCGUUAUUUAAGCCCCGUCCUCCACUUCCCCUGUCCAUCUCAUUAAGGAUUAAUGUGAGAAAUUACACAGGUCACUACAUGUAAAGCAUCUUUAACAGUGCCUGGUAACUAACAACACUUCACCUGUGUUACGAACUACUCUAAGUAAUGGGCCAAGUCAUGAGCUGCACAAAGGCCCCCAAGACCCAGACGGGUUUAAUGUUAAGCAAAAUGCCGCCUGGUCUCAGGUAGACACUCAGCCACCGCUAGCCCCAGUCAACUGUCCCAUGGGAAGGCAGAAGGCCCGGUGUUGCCAGGUCUUAAGUUUUCAGGAGGAAAUCCUUAAACGAUGGUGUUUCACUAUAAUGGAUUCAUUUUUAUGUUUUAUAAAUCUCUAUGUUCAUGUA